Molecule: long non-coding RNA, 13746 nt
Organism: Gallus gallus (chicken)
Lineage: Eukaryota; Metazoa; Chordata; Aves; Galliformes; Phasianidae
Exons: 25
Source: RefSeq, a predicted model, not a curated record
ACGUGAUGUGUGCUGAGGGCUUGGGAGGCUUUGGGGGACUGAAGGCUGUGACGUCUGCUCUGCAUCACUCAGGUCCACCAAAGGCUUUGAUGUGCCCAUUAUUUGAGCUGGCUUCCAAAUGUGGGUGCUUCCUGCAGCUGCCUCAUCUGUGGCCAUCAGCUGUGUCUGGGGUCCUCUCUCCCUGCCCCGUAGUUUCUUUCCCUGCCUGCACAGUGACUGGGUCAUUUCCUGCCUCUUCUCCAAGUGAGUGUCCCUUUGGGUACUGUGUUUUUUUCCUCUGAACUCCUUCACUCCUGAAAUCCACCCCUUCCCGUGUGUACACCGUUCCCCUGUCCCUGGCAAAGUGCUGCCUCUUUGCCCAGAUCCCUUCCACCCCUUCAAACAGCAAAACCACCUGGCCAAACUCAGCCACGGCCUGCUGGGGGCAACAGCGUGGCUGGAGGGCGGGAGGGGUGGGUGCUGUUGGCUCUGCCCGUACCUCUGCCCAUGGGAGGCAGCUGCUGUUCUCCCGUGCCAAGAGAUGCUCCGUUGCAAUGCAGAGCUGAUGCUUCCACAAGUCAAAACCCUCCAGGAGGAGCAGAAACAGCAAUCUUCCCUUCUGGAGAAGUGAGAGGGGUGUGUAUUUCUGGAGGUUUGUUCCUGGUACUCACUGGAAGGGCUCCAUGAAAAGCAGAGGCUGUACAUGCCAACAGGAGGAGGAAUACGGAUAGAAGUGAGCGCUGCUCCUGAGAGACGAUUCCCCUCUGGAUGCAGAGGAUAAGCUGUGAGACGUCCCCACUGUGUUCGUGGCUUCCCCACGCCGACAGCCGUUGCUCAGAACCAACACACUCGUGUGAGAUGUGUCAGUGCAGGAAUGACUUUGCUUCCAUCCAGGAGCACAAACUAAGCGCUGGGGCUGCCAGGCACCAUCAGCUGCACCCAAACCUCCUGCUGGCCGCUGUGCACGCAGGGAAUGCUGCCCUGUGGGCAUCAGCUGUGGCCUCAGGGCUGCGCUGCCCGGAGGAGGAUUUGCUGGGAAGCACUGGAGAACACCCCCGGGUCAGAGCUGGUCCUGAGUCCAGGAGGGCGAUGGCAGUGCAGCUGAGCAGCAGAUUUCCACGCUGCAGUGUCUAGCUGACUGCAGAUACAAUAAUCACUUCGCUCACCACCAACAUGGAACCACCCUUGGCAAGGCCAUGGCAGCCAUCACACAGCACGUUGAGAAUUACUGCUCCCAUUCAGAAGAUCACGAGGGCAUCUUUGAAGCAGGCAAGAACCAACCAGAUCCGACCCUGCUGUAGGUCAUGGACAGGCUGAGAUCCUGAUGGUGGAAGAUGAAGAGAAUACAUCAAAUUCUGUUUGUGUGGAAAAACUGAAAUAAUAAGAAAAUCCUCAGCUGAGGCUGGAGCUACUUGGCAGUCUGCAAUCUAGGUGAGGCAGGACAGAGGUACUCACCACAGGAAGGGGAGGUACAGUGCCAGGCACCAGCCUGCUCUGCUGCCACUGCAAACAUCUAUUUUGCCUAACCUGCUGAGAAGCCUUCAGUUGGUCAUGAAAACAACACUGCUGAUGCAUGGAGAUGUUUCUCUCACAAACUGUUAAACACAGAUUGCACACUGAGGACCUAGAGAAGGGCUCCAGAACUGCAUCUGACAGAGAAAUGCAGAGUUACUUAUCUGGAAGAAAACAUGAUUUUUAAGAGUUUCCAAGGGCUGGAAUAGCACGACUCAUAGGUAAAAGGAGCACAGCAACUGAUCAUUUUCCUGUGACCGGUAUGAGAUACGGCUUCUGGAGGUUGGACGAAUACAAACCCACCUGUGAUGAAUGUAACUCACCACUGGAUGUCAUUGUUUCUCUAUAGGAAAGAAUUAGGGAUGCUUGUUUGGCAGCAAAAUUGUUUUUUGUUGUUAUUUUUUCCCCCCAAAAUAGUUUCACAUAUGGGAUAUUGAGGUAUUUGGCACCUUUUCCACUUGGCUACAGCAAGAUGAGGAACCAAAUUACGCUUCUUGUUUUCUCAGGGUGGGGAAGGUUUACAGCCUUGAGGUGAAUAUGGUCUAUCCUCAAAUUAGCAGCUAUUAGGCCAGAUUGUCAGCUGGUGUAAAUUGUACUGCUCUGUUGAGUCAAAGAAACGAUGCCAACUCAAACAGGCUGAGAACCUAGCCCAUUGUGCCUGCUUCUCUUCCAGGCCCACUCAAAUACAGCCAAUCCAUCCUGCUUCCUCACACACCUCCUUCAUGCCCCCACAACUCUACUUUUUCUUUGUGUUCUCUCACAACAUCCGUAUUCCUUUGUUCUUUCUACUUCAGUCCACCUGGAUUUUGGUAUCAGUCACUUCUGUAUAUUCUUUCUGCUUUCGUUUGUGUUUUCCUCAAGAUGCUCCUAACAGAUGCUAAUCUUGAAUGACAUUCUGAGAUAGAGAUGGUCAGCUGGAAAAAGAAGCAGGCCAUAUACUCUUAGUCCAGAAUCUUGUCUAUUCAGCUUAACAUCUCAACAAGGCUUUCUGGUUGUUCUGACUUUGCUUCUUAUUCCAUCCCAGUGCUAAUUCUCUGUGCACACAAACACAUGCACAAAACCCCUGUUUGAAACCUCAAAAAAUAUAUCCGGGCAGGUAAAACUGUGAUGUGGAAAACAAAAACUCUUUAGUAUUUAACAAGCAGCAUAGGAUUCUACCUUGUUUGUUGCUGACAUGGAGAGAAGGACCAAAAGGAGGUUAAUUUUGGUGUAAUCAGCUGCUUAUCUACUCAUAAGGCUUUCAUGUUUGGGGGUUGGACUCAGUGAUCUCUAAAGGUCUCUUCCAAUCCCUACCAUUCUGUGAUUCUGUGAUAGGUUUCCUGCAGCAGAUGCUCUGUGCCAUUUUUCACUACACAGGGUAGAUUUGCUUUGUGGAGUUUAAGGAACUGAAUGACACCACUAACAGUGCAUUAUAGGAUGGGUUCAGCUUUCUUACUAUGAGUGGUUUCCUCAGCAUUCUUCUGCCCAAACUCAGUUUCACCAGGAGGCACUCAGGCUUGGUGGCUUACUGUUCUCUCGCUCCAUCUUUCAACCAUAUUUCCUUACCUAGAAUGAAAAGAUAAUUAAGCUAAUUAAUUAUUCAUAUAGCAACAAGCAAGCAAAAAGCUUUUGGCACCAUAAUGACAAGGUAGAGUAAUCAUUUUUAUCGUCUUUAUACCUAUUAUAUGUCCAUCCAUUAUGUGAAGGAUCUUGAAGCCUGCUUUGCUGCUCACAGAUCUGAAGGCCUGCAGGAUGACAGAAGCCUGCUUGGCCAGCAGACCCGGCCAUUGCUCUGUAACAUAUCUGCCUGCCCACCUUGAGAUAUGCCGUGCUGGAUACGAAGCCACUUUCGAUCAUGCAAAGUUGUACCCCGUGGUGCGAGCCCAGAGUUGAAGUUAGUGGUGAAGCUGGUUGUGUCCUUUUUUCUACUCCAGUUCUGCUGGUGUGGCAGCACAGCUGCUUGUGUCCUGUGGUAUGGCUCUUUCCAACGUUGCCAAAGUGGUUGGCUGUCCUGCUAGUAAAAACACCAAACAGAGGACAGGGAGUAAUUCAAACAUUUUGUUUUCUUCAGGAGUUUGGAAGAGCUGAAGAGGAUAUCAUUGCUACCUGAAAAGGUGGCACAGAAAAUGGAAAAUCAGUUCCAGGAGAUGGUCUUCAUCCAAUUCAGGAUCGAUUCUGUGGUCAGUGAAGAUUAUUUGUAACUAAAUAGAGUGCUGAUGGAGCUGUCUGUAGGCUACAUGGACUUAGGAAUUAAUCAAAUUGUUCAGCUGCUGAGUGUAAGGACAGAUCUUACUCUGAUGACAAAUAGUCCUUUCUUAUUUCUGUUUUCCUGCCCUCUCUGGAAAGGGAAGGGGAGGGAAAGGGAAGACUUCUCAUCUGCCAGGGAGAGACUUCUGAGAUGAGAUACAGUGAGAUCUUGAGUUGUAGAGUCAAAGCAUGCAUUAAUCUCAAGUGUGGCUAUAAUAACAAUCUCUUCUUCCCAAUUAAACAGUAGUCUGUGUGAGUUUGGGCUCUUACUCACUGGAGUUAGAAACAGAAACAAAACUUCUGACACUCAUCAGUGCUGCAGCAGAGUGAGGUAUACGCUGCUCAUAUUUCCCAAGGAGAAUUCAUUUUAUAUUUGUUUUACAUUUUUCCUGUUUUAUAUGGACAAAAGAUGUCUCUGGCAAUGAGGUGAUGAGGGAGCAGAGGGCUGUUUGGUGUGUCAGAUGGAGUAGUAACUUACAAAUGCUGGCUGGCUCAUAAAAAGGGCUAAAGCCUCUCCCUCAGAGUGCCUCUCAGAGGAUACUUUCUUUAACAGAUGAGCACUAUGCACACAGGAUGCACUUGAUGUGACACAUUGGGAUGGAGCAAUCUGUAUCAGGCAGCUGAAGAAAAAUCAGUCCCAACCUCCACAGGGUCUGACUUUGGGUGCAGUAGAUAAACACUUUAUUUACAGGAAACAUUAGAAAUAGCUCUGCAGAUCUGCAAUCAUUGGUGAAUUGUGUUCUAAACUGGAUACAAGAGGGGCUGGACUGGAUGAAUUACACUUUCAGAAAUCAUCAAAACAGAUUCAGCAAUAUAAAGCCAUCUAUCUGAGGCUGUUCAUCGAGGAAGUAAUUUAACCGAAAAUCAGCCUGUCUUAUAAGGAUUCCUCUUGGUCUUUGACACGCUAUGAUUUUCAGUUUGAAUGCCAAAGUCAGUUAUUUUACAUUGAGAGUUCAUUUCCUUAUUUAUUUUGCCAGCUGCUCUCUUUUCUCAUAUGCUUAUAUUCCAUGGUUAUUACAUCAGUAUCUUCUGAUGCAAUGUGCUCAGCUCCCUCCUCAUUAGCUGGUUUAGGGACCAUAACUGAAAAAAUAGUUGAUGUGAACACUGAAGAGGGAAGAAAGAAAAUGUGAAAAAUACAGUAGGAUAUAACCUAGUCUUGAACAUGGAGAACAAAUUGCUUCUCAGCUUUACCACAGCUCAGGUUAUGCACCCGGUGACAUCUGUGUAUCCAUCUCACUUGAAAUCAGCAAGGCAGUCUGUGUGGAUAUGGGUUCCAGUAGUGACUCCUUUCCCUGGAGUUUUUGGCUUGUAAAAGCAAACAAGGCCCCUAGCAAUAAAAGCUUUUGGCUCUGUCCCAGAUUGCUUUAUGGGUCAGAACAAGCAGAUAGUAAUAUGAAACAAACAAACAGCAAAACACAUCUUUCAUCACAUUUAUUCUGAACGUUUUCAUUGCUCGGAGGUCAAACCAAGAUUUUAUAUCUACAGUUCUUCCCCUGUUCCAAAACACACUGGCACUGCAAAUGAUGUGGCAGUUAGCGUUAUUGCUCAACAGCUGAUGGUUUUUCAGACCUGAAGUUUCUGCAGCACACAGCACACAGCUGGAGGGGUUUCCUAAAGCUUAUCAAAGGUAAUCAGAGCAUUGAUUAGGACUUCCAGCAGAACGUAAAUGGUUUGGAUAUUUAACUCCAGUGAAAUAAAUAAGGCGUAGGCUUCUUUGCAAAUUUAUCCAUCGUGCCUGUACAUUCAAUUUGAUGACUCACCACUGCAACACAGCUGCCCAGGCUGGAACGUGGCAGCCAUUCUGUGCUAACAACUCAACACGGCGGUUUAUUUUUCUGAAGAGGAGAUGUGAGGAAUAACUCGUCCAAUUGAAACUGCAAGGACAGUCCCCCAUCAGCGUGGAUGCCUCCACCCCACAGGAGCUGGUGGCCUUGGUGUGUCUCAGCCAACACUGACCUGCCCAGGGGAUGUGACUGUGAUGACUUAACGUUGGCAGUUAAUAGAGCUUUGUUUUCAAAGUUUGACAAUGAGAAGAAAUGCUUGCAAAUGCUUUGUCUGACGUUCUGUCUCCAGCUGCCGAGAGGAUGAGCAGCAGAGACUUCCAUCAUCUCAGGUGGGAAACCCUGAAACUGUCCUGGGCCGUGCCCUUCUGUCAUCCCUUCUGGGGCUUAGAAUCUGACUGUAUCAUGGUGUCUGUUGAACUGUGACUAAUGGCUGCAUCACAGAGCUGGUUCACCAGGUCGCCUCGACUGUAGCUGCCUCCAAAGAAAAACCCUGUUGUGGAAUGUGCAAGCUGGUGUUUAAUACAUGAGCCCUUCGCAGCAGGUUGAGCAAUCAGAAGCGCUGCCGCUUCCCUGCAUGCCCCGGGAACUGCGGACUGUUCAGGUGCUGUGGGGCUACAAGGACAAUCUGAUCUGCUUCAGCUUCUUCUAUGCUCUUUGCUGGGUCACUUCUUAGGAAGAAGGUAUUUCCUUUCUGCUCUGCUAUGUGUCUGUGUAUCAGUUAGGAGGCUGAGAACAGCUGAGCAUCAGCGAUCUCCUUGUGCUGUGUUCCAUCCUGCGGCUCGUCGCUCCAUCACUGAGAUCCAUAGGCUUCAUUUCAGCUCUUUGGCAAUGCUUCUUCUAACCUUGCUGCAAGAAGUCCUUGUGGCCAAUGCAUCCUCCCUAACGAGGCUGACGGGCUGCUGGCGAAAGGUGCCAGAGGAUGGAAGCUGGCAUGCUGAGGGCUUCUGUCCUGCGGUGCAGGCUGCUGGGAUCUGCCUUCCAUUGUGCUACUGAAACAUCAUCAAAGCCAGGAAAUGGGAGUGCCAUUCCAGUGAAAACCUUUGCAGUGCUGCAGCAGAGAGCCUUAAAUUCAAAGCAGUACUUUAAAAAUCAGAACUAGAAGGCGCUGCAUUAGGCCAGUGAAUGAUUCCAGCUUACACUGCCCACACAUUUGGGAAGGCUGCUUCAUCACUUCACUGCUACAUUUGUCACCUGACACCUGAGGACAGGUCACUGGAUCACAGUUCCUUACUGCCCUGCAGCUGGGGAAGGAGUUUGCAGCCCUUCUGCUGAGAAGACAGGGCUGGGUCUGCAGCCAUUAAAAGGAGCAGAAGAAGAUUUCCUCGAAUUCCUGCAUUGCUGUGAGCUGACACAAGGGCACGGCGCUCCACGCAGCAACCACCAGAUGUGCAGUGCAGGUUAUCUCUUCGCUUGUCUAAUCAAGUCUGGAAAAAAUAAUUGUCAUUAAUUCACUGACCUGAACCUGGGCCGAGCUGUUCUGUGCACUGGCUGAAUGUGACAACUAAUCCAACAGAAAUAUGCAUUAUAUUCCCCUACAUUGCCACCUUGAAACGUCCCGGCACUGCCUCCCUGCAGUACUGGUGCUGCCACAGGGACAGGGACACGAGCUGAAGUCUCCAUGAAGUCCUGUAUGGAACAAAGGCCAGAAGGAAGUCAUGAUUUCAGUGUGUCUACUGUACUGGAAGGAAAAACAGAACAAACAGAUCCUCCUUGAAACUCUUCCCACAACCAAACUUUUAAUGUUUUUAUGAGAGAUCUGCACAUGUAUUCACAUUUAUCAGCAUAUGCAAAUCUCCCACUGAAGGGAAGCAGGCUGUGUCAGAGCAGUGGAGGUAGAAGCUGACAGUAGAUCUCUACAGCUGUCAAAACAACGGCCUGGUAGAAUGCAGCCAUCAAAACACGAGUCUUGUGUGCACAUCUCAGACUUGGCUGUUCAAUCUCUUGCACCAGAAGCUCCUAUGGCAAAUGUUUUUGAAACACGGAUGAUCCGAGUGCAUCAGAAAGAAAGCAAUAGCUGUGACAUCUUGGUCUCCAUCCUCAAAAGGCACUGGGAAUUCCAAACAAUCUAGUAAUUGGAAUUCAUAGCUAGUUUCUGUAUGAAAAGUCAGCUGUAGAAAAUAGUGUGUUUGAAAGUAUCCCCUACUCCAUACAUCAGCAUGUAACCCGGAAGCUUUCCUUCCUUGCAGUUCCCUUUGGGUUGCUUUUCCCAGUAAGAGGUCCUACCCCCUUUUUGACCAGAGGCUCUUGUGGUAAAGGGGAGCGCUGUGGGACUUCCAAGCUGGAGUGGAGGGAGAAGCGGGUAGUGAGGCAAUGCUGUGCUAUUGGAAGUUGUGCUGUUGUAAACCAUGGGAACAGCUGACCUGAGGAAUCUGCGAGAAACAAUCCUCUAUCGUCAGACACUGAAUAAUCUAAUGACUUAUUUCAGUUUCUUAAAAAUUGCCUUUUCAUCAGUUGAAAGUUGCAAAUUGCUGGUUUAAUGAGUCCCAAGCAGAGAAAAUAGAAGUAAAAAUAUAUGCAUCUUAUCUAAUAAAUGCUGAGCACUAGACAGGCAUGACUAAAGCAAACUAACCUGCAGAUUUUAAAUCUCUUAGGAUCUGUUGCAGACAGCUUGGUUCAAAACAGCCAACGAAAGAACAGAGCUGCAGCAGGUCUGCCUCGGCACCACUUGCUGCAGCUCCUGGAGGAGCAGCGUUGCAUUUUCUGUUUGGUAAACUGCUGACAGUGCUAACAGUACCAUCUUUGAAACAGCAAACUGAGCAUGUGCCAUCCCUUUGAAGGACACAUGCUGAAAUGCAGGAUGAGUAGUUCCAGAUAAGCCAGCACAGUAUGUCAGUACCUUCAGCGUGUUGCACAAACUUGCUGAUAGGGGACAAAACAAAAACCACAGAAACAAAAGCAGCUCAACAUAUUGUUCUGGUGAAAUGAGAACUCUCUCCCCAGUGUCUGUAUGCUUUGUUUAAUGGAUCAUGGGAGCCUCAGGAUUCACCAGUGUCUCACGAAGCUGCACCAGGCGAUGGCAGAUGGCAGCAGGAGCACGCGGUGCAAGAAUGCGCCCUUCUCUUAAAUGCAGCAUGAGGGUGGAGGCCCUGGGCUUCUUUCCACGCAUGACUCAAAUGAAUCUUCUGCCUAAUGAGUAGCAUUUUGAAGUCAGCUUAAAAAUCCUAUAGUGAUCCUAUCUAACCAGCUUCUCCUACGUAAAGAUUAAUUUUUUAUAAUGGUGGUUUUCUUUCCAGUUGCCCAGGGCAGUUAUUUGCUAGGGCAGCCUCCUAUCAGCUGAGAUAACAAGGGCAAAGACUGACAGUCCAGCAGAGUCUGGGUUGUGCUCAUUUCUGGGGGAGCAGCGGAUACUAUUAAUGGUGUUCAGGCCUAAAUGGAACCAAGUGUCUCAUUGGGAAAAUAUGUUGGGGAGAAAGGGCUGUGCUAGGGGGCUGCAUACCCAGAUUGUGCUCCUGUUGGAUGACUGGCUGAUAAAACCAGCACUCCUAUAUAACCUUGCAAAAGUCAUUAAUGAAGCUUCAGUGCCUCACAGUGAUGGUGGUGCUCCCAGCUGAUGGAGACAUGCUGGAGCAAGCUGCAGUAACAGUGUCUGACUGGCAGUCUUCCCUGCUGGGUGCUGCUGUCAGGAAGGCACAGUAGAGACUACGUAGGCAUAUUGAAAUAGGGUAUGAGAUCAAAUCAUCUAAAAGAUCUGCAAGGACCCUUGUUGUCUUCUUCCUUGCAGUUUGCAAAUUGCUGCUGUAUACUGAUUUUAUCUGAUUUCAAAUGUAGCUUAAGAGACUGUUUGGUAGGCAAGAGCAUCUCUAAACUAGUGGUGAGCCUUUGGGGGCUGUGUGGCAGGUGACACAGGCUGGAGGUUUCCAUAAGUAUAGGAUCCAGUUGGCAGCAUAGGCUGGUGCCCUUGGAGGUGGUAUUGCUGCAAUGGGCGAUCUGUGUCCUCAGCUGAGCACUGGCACAGAACUAGCUGUGGAUGGCAGAGCCUCGAUUUCUUCUUCCAAGUAGCAAUGGGCUGCAAAAAUUAACAUGAGUAAAAUCCAUCUCCAUCCUAGGAACAUGUAAACAUCUGGACGAGUAGUUAUGAAGAUUAAUGUUAUGCACAGGGUAAGAAUUCCCACUGACAUUUGCUCAGUUUGCCCAAGCAAGUUAGUGGAAACCUCCUGUGAAUAUGAACCGUACUCUGCAGUGCUGCGCAGGCAUUUAACAGCUUGGAUGCCAGUCUCCUUACAGGCACAUCAGUAAGUCUUAGUCUUUAAUUGCCUUAAAAUAUAAUAUUGGAAGAAAAAAAAAGUCAUAGAGGUAUGUGUAACUUUUAAGACUAAGUGGAAAAGAAGUAAACAACAAUAAAGUUAUCCCCAUCUUUGGACUUAAAAUCAGUCCUGACUGAGGCAGUUCUUCAAGGAGAGUGGGUGACAGCUGUCUGUCAGGUCUGAGCAACACGUCUUCUGCACUGAUGAUCAAUGCCUGAAAUAACGCUGAGGUGCAGCAGUAGCUGUGUAUCAUUCAUAGGAGGGUGGCAGCUGCUCCAAGUACAGCACUGAGCGUGAAUGCCUGCUGUCUCGUGGUCAGUGGUUACUGCUGUGCCUGAAGCCUGGCUGUGCCUGUGGUCAGAUGCUCUGACAUCAAAGGUACUGUUGGCUCCUUUGGGCUGGUGAACUUUAUUGAAAGCAUGCCAUGUUUGGAGUCCCAUGAGCAGGUAACGUGCAUCCAUCUGAGCGUGCAGGUUUGAACGUGUCUGCCAUAAGGUAUUUGAAUCUGGAGGCAAUGUGAUUCUUGCUAUGCAAUAAAAUCAAGAAUACACAGUCUUUUAGUGUCUAAACCCCUCCCAGUCCUCCCCUAUUCUGAACGUACUGUUAUCAUUACACCGAUACUUGCUGUGUAAUACACUUUAAAUGAGUGUGAAUGUGCUAUGGACUAAUGUGGUUAUCUCCAUAUGGCAGGAAGUUGCUUGGUCGGAGGUCAUCUCCAUACUGGUGUAAUUCCAGGCAUGUUGCUGGUUUUAAUAAUAUAAUGACGAUAAUUGAUGUUCUAAAACUGGUAAGGUCAGUGUUCACUGGCUGCUACAUUUACUUGGCAGCCAGCUCAGCAGUAUUAACACGAAAUGAGGCACAAAUCCCACGUCCUGCUCCCAGGCCUGAUAGCAGAAUGGGCGCUCCAAUGAAUCGCAGUGCUGUUUACUCCUUUGGCACUCCUUUCUUGCUGACCUCUGCCCAGGUGUGCCAUGCAGCAGGGUAAGACGGGGUGAAGCCAGGGCCAACCUGAAAAGCCCUCACGUGGCAGUUUUGCCAUGACGAGUUAAUCACAGCAUUUGCUGGUAUUAUUCCAGACUUUUUUUUCCCCCUUUGGAUGUGUGCAGGUUCACAGAGUAAAGGCAGGACGACUGUUGAAUGUGUAUUAAUGGCUAUAAGAAAUAUAGGUCCCAGUUUGCCAGUUGUUCUGCCAGGUUCUCAGACAGGAAUGUUUAGGGAGCUUUUUCUCGGCAUGGUGCAAAGCCUGCAGCUAAGAAAAGAGCCCAGGGAAGAUAAUCUGCCUUUUUCCAUGUUCAGCAUUUCCCACCCGGUGUGAACCUAAAUCAUGUGGAUUUCACUACUGGCUCUGCAAUGUUACGGGGAGAUAAGGCGGUAACAACUCAUUUGUAUCCCCAGAUGAGAUAAACCAGAAGCACAUCUCCCCGUUUGUGAGUGGCUUCCUAUCAGAGGUGAGAAUAACUGCGCGGCACUAAGCUGGCAGUCAGCAGUGAUUAAUAAUAGUAAAUCUUUUGCAUAAAUAGAAAGGUGUCAUUGUGUGUAUUUCACUUACAGUGUUUCUAAUGUGUGUCUGUAAUUAAAUUACAUCUGGUUUUCUGUCCAAGAAAUUAAUGUGCACUUACAUAAUGUGUUGGUGCUCUUAUGUUCAGGAGGGGGAAAUGAGUGCUCUGCCUUUUCAAGUGGAGAUUGCUUCAUCCAUAGCUUUUUGGGGGAGUGGAAAUAGAUUUAUUCUAUCUUUGCACGUUCGUCUGAUUCGGUGCUGAAAUCACUGGAGCAAAUUCAGCAGCCCCGGAUGCCUUCAGUUCAGGAUCCCGUUCUGAAUGAUGAUGGAAGAGAAGAAGCGUGUUACUUUGUGCUAAGAUCUGCCAGAACAGCAGUGCCCUGGAAAUAUCUGACUGCACAAAAAUCAAAAGGAAAUUGGAGAUUGGCUUUGUUAAGGACACCUCCUGUUCUAUGGCACUGUCACUCAAUCGCUGUGUGGGAGUGCAUACAUUGUCUACAGGUGGUAGUGAGGAGGAGUCAAAGCUUCAGAGAGAGCUGCAGGAACAGCUGGACCUCAUAAGAGCUGCAAAAGAAGAUUCCCCAGCUAAAACAUGUCCAUGGAGAGCCAUAUGUGCAUAGCUGUUAGGAUUUUGGAAUCAGUGUGGUGGAAUGACAGGGAGAUGAUGGGAAAGUGAUUUCUUGAAACUUCAGCAUAUGCUUUUCAUUUGUGUGAGCUGGCACUGCCACGAGCCAGAGGAGGCUUGCAGCAAGCGGGGCCAUGCGGGACUGGCACCUGCUCGGCUGUGCUCGGGUGACUUCUGGACCUUCUGGUACUAAAUGAAGACGGACAUUGACUAACAUUUGUUCAAGGCCAUCUAUGUAAAACAUAUCCGAAAGGUCUUUGCGAAGCAAAGCUUUGCAUGGCCCCAAAAAGGAAUUCAAAAAACAAGUUGGAUAAACAAGAAGAACUUUCUGUCUGCUCGGAAACAUGUAGGCUAAUGUCCUUGAGCGAGUGCCAGGCCUCCGGGGGUUACGUCCAGGGAACGUGAGUCAAGCCUCGCCAGGCUCUGUCACCUGCAGCUUUGUGUGCAAUGCUAUUCCUUCAAAUAUUUCAGGAAGAGCAUCCUUGAGGGGGAGGAACGUCAGCCUGCUUGAUUCUGGAUAGGUGCACGGUCUGAGUGGAGGCAUAAACAGCUGUAGGUAUUCUUACCAAAUGCCAUCUUCUCUGUGGAGCAGGAUUGAAGAGGGGGAACUCCUCUGUGUGAUUUUCUCUGCACUGUUGUCAUGGGUUGCGAUUGGGUUUGGUGGAGCCUUGCAGCGUCCUGACCGAACGUUCAGUGCCAGUCCGUAAGAACAUCCUGCUUCACUUUCAUGUCCAAAGCUACUGCGAUGCUUUGCCAACUCUGAGCACAGCAUUAAAAUAAAAGAGAGACUUGAUCCACUUGACAUUCAUGGAUAAGUAUUUUUUUUUUCCCUUCUUUAUUUUCCCAUUAGAAGUGUUCAACAGAAGCUGUAGAUGCUCGGUAUCAUCCAGGCUGUUGCCUGAGGGUGGAACAAUGAAGAUUCUUUUGGAAAGUGGCUAAAAUGUGGGGCCGUGAGCAUGAGGCCAUUUGGCACUUGUGUGAUCUUCCCUGCUCACAGCCACGAGGAUCAGUCACCAGAGAUCUUUGCUGCCAACUUUCAGCCCAGGAAAGGUGUUAGAGAUUGAAUUGCACUGUGAUCCUUGGGAAAAGAGGGCAUAUCUUUGUCAUUUUGUGUUACUGACAUUUCUAGGGAUUUUGACAGAAGGAAGAUAGCAGGAAUGUACAACUCCUGUCAGUGAGCAUCCCGAAAUAUUUCUGAGUAAAUGAUGACAGAUGCUUCAAGCCAGAGAUGCUGUUAGACACUGAGAAAUAGUGAUUUUCUUUUACUCUCAGCUGAAACUCUGAUUAUUUUAUUUUCCCAAGCAAAAGGUCAAUAUGACAUGCACGUCAUAUAUUCAUACCGCAACUCUUAUAUUUCAUUCUUGCCAUUGUUUUUUGUGUGUAAGUGGAGAUAAAACAGCUAAAUGCAUUGAAAAAAAAACAGUUGAUCACUAGGCAGGAGACAGGCAGUGCUAAAAAAAAGUUUCCCUGGUUCAAGUAUAUUUCUUACUUAAAAACAAGUUUUAUUUGGCUUGUGUGCAGAGCUCUGUCUUCAUAAACCUUUAAUCUCAGAGCUGUCAAACCUCCUUUGACCCAGAGUUUACAGUAAAUAGAAAAAAAAAAUGACAAAGAUGCUCUUCUGUAGAAAAGUGAGCUCAGGGAAUGUAGUUCAAGGUAAAAAUCUUCUAGUGUUGUUUCAACAGCAUUAAUGGAAAUUGAUUCAAGGGAGACUUUUCAGGAUCAUUCCUGAAUCUCUAAAGCCAAAGCAUUGAGAAAAUGAUAAAAUACCUUGAAUUUCUGAUCUUCCAGGGGAGUCCUGAGUGGCCUCUGCAGCGGGUGAGAGGAGAAGGCAGACGGCAUGGAGCUGUGCUGGAGACAUGGCAGCAUGCAGGUCAUUAC